GGAUUAGAUACCCUAGUAUAGUUAUAGGAGAGGGAAUAAGUAUAUUAUAUUGAAAAUUAAUGAUUUUGGCGGUUGAUUAAUUUUAUUAGAGGAGCUUGUUUUGGAAAAGUAUUUACUCUUUAUAUUUAUAAAUUUAUUUGUUUAUUCAUCUCCGUUAUUAGGUAUUUUUAUGUUGAAGAAGAUUUUUUUUUGAUUUCAGGUCAAGAUGUAGCAUUAUCUUUAAAUAAAAAUUAGCUAAAAUAAUUAUUUUAGUAUAUCUCUUUAGGUAAUAUUUGAGUGAAGUAAAUUUAAUUGUAAUAGUAUUUAUAGAGGUAUUAUGAAUUUAUUUAAUUAAUGUACAGAUUGCCCGUCACCUUCGUAUUAUAGAUAGAAUAAGUCGUAACAUAGU
This 388-nucleotide ribosomal RNA is filed under the name Eusarcus pusillus. Its description in RNAcentral is "partial small subunit ribosomal RNA". The record is from RNAcentral. Lineage: Eukaryota; Metazoa; Arthropoda; Arachnida; Opiliones; Gonyleptidae.